This 1459-nucleotide ribosomal RNA is filed under the name Escherichia coli. RNAcentral's name for it is "partial 23S ribosomal RNA". It matches the Rfam family "Bacterial large subunit ribosomal RNA", at positions 1273 to 2717 of the family's 2925-position model. Lineage: Bacteria; Pseudomonadati; Pseudomonadota; Gammaproteobacteria; Enterobacterales; Enterobacteriaceae. The record is from RNAcentral.
CUGGAGGUAUCAGAAGUGCGAAUGCUGACAUAAGUAACGAUAAAGCGGGUGAAAAGCCCGCUCGCCGGAAGACCAAGGGUUCCUGUCCAACGUUAAUCGGGGCAGGGUGAGUCGACCCCUAAGGCGAGGCCGAAAGGCGUAGUCGAUGGGAAACAGGUUAAUAUUCCUGUACUUGGUGUUACUGCGAAGGGGGGACGGAGAAGGCUAUGUUGGCCGGGCGACGGUUGUCCCGGUUUAAGCGUGUAGGCUGGUUUUCCAGGCAAAUCCGGAAAAUCAAGGCUGAGGCGUGAUGACGAGGCACUACGGUGCUGAAGCAACAAAUGCCCUGCUUCCAGGAAAAGCCUCUAAGCAUCAGGUAACAUCAAAUCGUACCCCAAACCGACACAGGUGGUCAGGUAGAGAAUACCAAGGCGCUUGAGAGAACUCGGGUGAAGGAACUAGGCAAAAUGGUGCCGUAACUUCGGGAGAAGGCACGCUGAUAUGUAGGUGAAGUCCCUCGCGGAUGGAGCUGAAAUCAGUCGAAGAUACCAGCUGGCUGCAACUGUUUAUUAAAAACACAGCACUGUGCAAACACGAAAGUGGACGUAUACGGUGUGACGCCUGCCCGGUGCCGGAAGGUUAAUUGAUGGGGUCAGCGCAAGCGAAGCUCUUGAUCGAAGCCCCGGUAAACGGCGGCCGUAACUAUAACGGUCCUAAGGUAGCGAAAUUCCUUGUCGGGUAAGUUCCGACCUGCACGAAUGGCGUAAUGAUGGCCAGGCUGUCUCCACCCGAGACUCAGUGAAAUUGAACUCGCUGUGAAGAUGCAGUGUACCCGCGGCAAGACGGAAAGACCCCGUGAACCUUUACUAUAGCUUGACACUGAACAUUGAGCCUUGAUGUGUAGGAUAGGUGGGAGGCUUUGAAGUGUGGACGCCAGUCUGCAUGGAGCCGGCCUUGAAAUACCACCCUUUAAUGUUUGAUGUUCUAACGUUGACCCGUGAUCCGGGUUGCGGACAGUGUCUGGUGGGUAGUUUGACUGGGGCGGUCUCCUCCUAAAGAGUAACGGAGGAGCACGAAGGUUGGCUAAUCCUGGUCGGACAUCAGGAGGUUAGUGCAAUGGCAUAAGCCAGCUUGACUGCGAGCGUGACGGCGCGAGCAGGUGCGAAAGCAGGUCAUAGUGAUCCGGUGGUUCUGAAUGGAAGGGCCAUCGCUCAACGGAUAAAAGGUACUCCGGGGAUAACAGGCUGAUACCGCCCAAGAGUUCAUAUCGACGGCGGUGUUUGGCACCUCGAUGUCGGCUCAUCACAUCCUGGGGCUGAAGUAGGUCCCAAGGGUAUGGCUGUUCGCCAUUUAAAGUGGUACGCGAGCUGGGUUUAGAACGUCGUGAGACAGUUCGGUCCCUAUCUGCCGUGGGCGCUGGAGAACUGAGGGGGGCUGCUCCUAGUACGAGAGGACCGGAGUGGACGCAUCACUGGUGUUC